UCUGACUGGAUGUCAAACUUGACCCGAGAUGAAGACCGCAGCACAUUCCUGGAUCAGAAGGCUCCAUUUUGGACACCAGGACCUGGAGAAGUCCCGUCCUGGAUGGCUGUGGUGUUGACCUAGUCCAAGAUGACCCGACCCUUCUAUGACGACGACUUCACCCAAGAUGAACCGACCUUUUCCACGGGAUGUCUUCAGAUGUUGGACCUUGCCAAACU
This is a long non-coding RNA of Solea senegalensis (Senegalese sole), 218 nucleotides long. RefSeq lists it as uncharacterized. Lineage: Eukaryota; Metazoa; Chordata; Actinopteri; Pleuronectiformes; Soleidae. The transcript is spliced from 3 exons. The record is from RefSeq and is a predicted model, not a curated record.